Molecule: ribosomal RNA, 688 nt
Filed under: uncultured bacterium
Lineage: Bacteria
Description: bacterial SSU rRNA
Rfam family: Bacterial small subunit ribosomal RNA
Source: RNAcentral
AGGGUUUUGAUCUAUGGGCUCAGAGCGAACGUUAGCGGCAGGCUUAACACAUGCAAGUCGAGCGAGAACGGUUCCUUCGGAGACCUAGUACAGCGGCGGACGGGUGAGUAACACGUGGGUAACCUGCCCUUCGGUGGAGGACAACCAUUCGAAAGAGUGGCUAAUACUGCAUACGUCCAUCAUCUCUGCGGAGGAGAUGGGGAAAGGCUUCGGCCGCCGAAGGAGGGGCCCGCGGGGCAUCAGCUUGAUGGUGGGGUAACGGCCUACCAUGGCUAGGACGCUUAGCUGGUCUGAGAGGAUGAUCAGCCACACUGGGACUGAGACACGGCCCAGACUCCUACGGGAGGCAGCAGUGGGGAAUAUUGGACAAUGGGCGAAAGCCUGAUCCAGCCCAUGCCGCGUGAGUGAUGAAGGCCUUCGGGUCGUAAAGCUCUGUGGAGGGGGACGAAAAAAAUGACGGUUACCCCUUUAGCAAGCACCGGCUAACUCCGUGCCAAGCAGCCCGCGGUAAUACGGAGGGGUGCAAACGUUGCUCGGAAUUAUUGGGCGUAAAGCGCCACGUUAGGCGGGUCCUAUAAGUCCGGAUGUGAAAGCCCUCGGCCUCACCCGAAGGAAGUGCAUUCGAAACUGUUAGGACUCGAGUUUCGGGAGAGGGUCACGGAAUUCCCGGGCGUAGAGGUGAAAUUCG